RNAcentral lists this long non-coding RNA (811 nucleotides) under Micromonas commoda. RNAcentral's name for it is "long non-coding RNA (MCOM_LNC000039)". The record is from RNAcentral. Lineage: Eukaryota; Viridiplantae; Chlorophyta; Mamiellophyceae; Mamiellales; Mamiellaceae.
UGACAAAAAUGCAUAUUACUCAGUGCCUACUUUGUUCCAGCUUGAAGUUGACGUUGUUAAACCAUCUGCGGUUCAACUAACAGGUGAGGGGUCUCUGCGUUGACUAAUUGCCGGGUUUUCCUAUCUUAAAUCUUUAUCCUCGAGGAAUGUUUAUGGAUGAACACAAAACUCAAACUCGCAGGCGAAAAAUUGGAGACUGGGCAUUCAGAUAAUUGCCACGUGCAAUCCAAAGCAUCGACGAAAUAUGGUGGAUACGUAGAUUCCCGGCCACCCGGAUCCUGGUCACGAGCCACGGGUCCUAGUCGAGCCAAGUGGGCUCGCACGAACAACUGACAACUGCGAUCAUGUGGGUAUGGUUCGCACACCGUCGGGGGGGACUCUCUUUUUGUGAAUAGUGUCCAUGCAUGGAAGGAAGCUGGUUGUUUUAUUUCAAUUAUUUGUCGCCAAAUGGCCGGAGAGAAACGUGGGAUAUAAUCCCAUGCAGGCGGGUACGAACACCAUGGGGUGGUGGACUGAAAUGGAAUAAUAACUUUUACCUUCGCAUUGUUUUUUAGUGCACUAAAAUCAACCGUUUUUUUAGGACUUCUCGUUGGCGCAAUGCAUUAUUCGUACCUUCGUACGGGUGCCUUCAUUCGUACUUCGAAUGAAGUUGUUAACGUUUUCAUUAUUUAGACUAUAUGGAAAGUGAUAUGAUAUCCGUAAGAUCGGCCAGCCAGUAUAUAUAUAUAUAUAGUAUAUGUCGAAAUCAAUAUGUAUUUACGAGUUAUUUACGCAUACGAUCAUUUUUAAGAUUCUUUAAAAUCGUGUGGGC